Long non-coding RNA from Vitis riparia (riverbank grape), 381 nucleotides. RefSeq lists it as uncharacterized. Lineage: Eukaryota; Viridiplantae; Streptophyta; Magnoliopsida; Vitales; Vitaceae. The transcript is spliced from 2 exons. The record is from RefSeq and is a predicted model, not a curated record.
CAAGCAUUGGAUAACAAGCACGUUGUUUCUUCAAGGGAAAUCCCGAAUGGAAAUAUCACAGCGAGCGAGUAGGCCAUGGACCCAAGAAGAAGACCAGAAGCUCAUUGAAUGUAAAACCAAUAAUCCCCAUCUAUCUUGGCCACAUAUCGCAAUGCUGGCAGGGCUGGGGAGGAGUCAGAAGAGUUGUAGGGAGAGGUGGGAACAGCAUUUGCAGAAUAAUCAUUGAGAUUGCUCCAUGGUCAUGAAUGCAUGUUAUAAUAAACCUGGGCUUCGUUUUAUGAUGAAGGGUUAGACCCAUUAAUUUCUGCAUAAUAUAAUGGUUGGCUUAUUGUACUCACCGAUGAAAUUAUUCAUCUUAUAAUAAACAUGUGUUUUGUAUUA